ACGGGGUGCAGCAGGCGCGAAAACUCUACAAUGCAGGCAACUGCGAUAGGGGGACAUCGAGUGGCGCUCACUUUGGGCGCCUGUCCCACCGUCUAAAAAACGGUGGUUAGCAAGGGCCGGGUAAGACCGGUGCCAGCCGCCGCGGUAAUACCGGCGGCUCAAGUGGUGGCCACUAUUACUGGGCUUAAAGCGUCCGUAGCUGGAUUGUUAAGUCUCUUGGGAAAUCUACCGGCUUAACCGAUAGGCGUUCAAGGGAUACUGGCAACCUAGGGACCGGAAGAGGUGAGAGGUACUCCAGGGGUAGGAGUGAAAUCCUGUAAUCCUUGGGGGACCACCUGUGGCGAAGGCGUCUCACCAGAACGGCUCCGACAGUGAGGGACGAAAGCUGGGGGAGCAAACCGGAUUAGAUACCCGGGUAGUCCCAGCUGUAAACGAUGCGCGUUAGGUGUAUCGGUGACCACGAGUCACCGAGGUGCCGAAGAGAAAUCGUGAAACGUGCCGCCUGGGAAGUACGGUCGCAAGGCUGAAACUUAAAGGAAUUGGCGGGGGAGCA
Molecule: ribosomal RNA, 553 nt
Filed under: uncultured archaeon
Lineage: Archaea
Description: bacterial SSU rRNA
Rfam family: Archaeal small subunit ribosomal RNA
Source: RNAcentral